Lupinus angustifolius (narrow-leaved blue lupine) is the source of this 75-nucleotide non-coding RNA. Lineage: Eukaryota; Viridiplantae; Streptophyta; Magnoliopsida; Fabales; Fabaceae. The record is from Rfam.
AUUCCCAAUGAUGUUGGUUUACUACCAUGCUAAUGCUGAUAACAUGAUUAAUACUAUCAUUAUACUGAGGGAAUA